AGUGAACGCUGGCGGUAGGCCUAACACAUGCAAGUCGAACGGCAGCACAGUAAGAGCUCGCUCUUACGGGUGGUGAGUGGCGGACGGGUGAGGAAUACAUCGGAAUCUACUUUUUCGUGGGGGAUAACGUAGGGAAACUUACGCUAAUACCGCAUACGACCUACGGGUGAAAGCAGGGGAUCUUCGGACCUUGCGCGAUUGAAUGAGCCGAUGUCGGAUUAGCUAGUUGGCGGGGUAAAGGCCCACCAAGGCGACGAUCCGUAGCUGGUCUGAGAGGAUGAUCAGCCACACUGGAACUGAGACACGGUCCAGACUCCUACGGGAGGCAGCAGUGGGGAAUAUCGGACAAUGGGCGCAAGCCUGAUCCAGCCAUACCGCGUGGGUGAAGAAGGCCUUCGGGUUGUAAAGCCCUUUUGUUGGGAAAGAAAAGCAGCAGGUUAAUACCCCGCUGUUCUGACGGUACCCAAAGAAUAAGCACCGGCUAACUUCGUG
This 492-nucleotide ribosomal RNA is filed under the name uncultured bacterium. Its description in RNAcentral is "partial 16S ribosomal RNA". It matches the Rfam family "Bacterial small subunit ribosomal RNA", at positions 29 to 507 of the family's 1533-position model. The record is from RNAcentral.